AAAGGAAUUGACGGGACCCGCACAAGCGGUGGAUGAUGUGGUUUAAUUCGAUGCAACGCGAAAAACCUUACCCACCUUUGACAUGGCAGGAAUCCUAAGGAGAUUUGGAGUGCUCGAAAGAGAACCUGCACACAGGUGCUGCAUGGCUGUCGUCAGCUCGUGUCGUGAGAUGUUGGGUUAAGUCCCGCAACGAGCGCAACCCUUGCCAUUAGUUGCUACGAAAGGGCACUCUAAUGGGACUGCCGGUGACAAACCGGAGGAAGGUGGGGAUGACGUCAAGUCCUCAUGGCCCUUAUAGGUGGGGCUACACACGUCAUACAAUGGCCGGUACAGAGGGUAGCCAACCCGCGAGGGGGAGCCAAUCCCACAAAGCCGGUCGUAGUCCGGAUCGCAGUCUGCAACUCGACUGCGUGAAGUCGGAAUCGCUAGUAAUCGCGGAUCAGCAUGUCGCGGUGAAUACGUUCCCGGGUCUU
This 473-nucleotide ribosomal RNA is filed under the name uncultured Allobrachymonas sp. RNAcentral's name for it is "bacterial SSU rRNA". It matches the Rfam family "Bacterial small subunit ribosomal RNA", at positions 903 to 1382 of the family's 1533-position model. The record is from RNAcentral. Lineage: Bacteria; Pseudomonadati; Pseudomonadota; Betaproteobacteria; Burkholderiales; Comamonadaceae.